GAGGACUGCCAGGAGAAAGCGAGAAAUAAUAACUGCAUCGCUGGUGGAGUGGCAAAUAUCAACCAAUUAGGCUUGGUAUUUCUAAAAAUUAAAUUAAAUGUACCAGCGAUACAGUUAUUAUUUCUCGCUCUCUCCUGGCAGUUCUC
Non-coding RNA from Pelobates cultripes (western spadefoot toad), 146 nucleotides. The record is from the annotation of a GenBank genome assembly. NCBI's taxonomy places the organism in Eukaryota, Metazoa, Chordata, Amphibia, Anura, Pelobatidae.